This is a small nucleolar RNA of Cynara cardunculus var. scolymus (artichoke), 131 nucleotides long. RefSeq annotates it as small nucleolar RNA snoR77. The record is from RefSeq and is a predicted model, not a curated record. Lineage: Eukaryota; Viridiplantae; Streptophyta; Magnoliopsida; Asterales; Asteraceae. The transcript has a single exon.
AGGCAACCUCCUUCUGAAUACUUAAAUGAGAAGUGAGGUGUUAAUCUGGUCGGAAAUCGAUCUCUUUAGCUCUUUCAGAUUUUUCUGAGGCUUAAUGCUUUUGAAGUUGGUCUAGCAAGCAAAAGGACAUU